RNAcentral lists this ribosomal RNA (572 nucleotides) under Bacillus pumilus. Its description in RNAcentral is "bacterial SSU rRNA". It matches the Rfam family "Bacterial small subunit ribosomal RNA", at positions 72 to 628 of the family's 1533-position model. The record is from RNAcentral. Lineage: Bacteria; Bacillati; Bacillota; Bacilli; Caryophanales; Bacillaceae.
AAGGGAGCUUGCUCCCGGAUGUUAGCGGCGGACGGGUGAGUAACACGUGGGUAACCUGCCUGUAAGACUGGGAUAACUCCGGGAAACCGGAGCUAAUACCGGAUAGUUCCUUGAACCGCAUGGUUCAAGGAUGAAAGACGGUUUCGGCUGUCACUUACAGAUGGACCCGCGGCGCAUUAGCUAGUUGGUGAGGUAACGGCUCACCAAGGCGACGAUGCGUAGCCGACCUGAGAGGGUGAUCGGCCACACUGGGACUGAGACACGGCCCAGACUCCUACGGGAGGCAGCAGUAGGGAAUCUUCCGCAAUGGACGAAAGUCUGACGGAGCAACGCCGCGUGAGUGAUGAAGGUUUUCGGAUCGUAAAGCUCUGUUGUUAGGGAAGAACAAGUGCAAGAGUAACUGCUUGCACCUUGACGGUACCUAACCAGAAAGCCACGGCUAACUACGUGCCAGCAGCCGCGGUAAUACGUAGGUGGCAAGCGUUGUCCGGAAUUAUUGGGCGUAAAGGGCUCGCAGGCGGUUUCUUAAGUCUGAUGUGAAAGCCCCCGGCUCAACCGGGGGAGGGUCAUUG